GACGAACGCUGGCGGCGUGCCUAAUACAUGCAAGUAGAACGCUGAAGGAGGAGCUUGCUUCUCUGGAUGAGUUGCGAACGGGUGAGUAACGCGUAGGUAACCUGCCUGGUAGCGGGGGAUAACUAUUGGAAACGAUAGCUAAUACCGCAUAAGAGUAGAUGUUGCAUGACAUUUGCUUAAAAGGUGCAAUUGCAUCACUACCAGAUGGACCUGCGUUGUAUUAGCUAGUUGGUGAGGUAACGGCUCACCAAGGCGACGAUACAUAGCCGACCUGAGAGGGUGAUCGGCCACACUGGGACUGAGACACGGCCCAGACUCCUACGGGAGGCAGCAGUAGGGAAUCUGCGGCAAUGGACGGAAGUCUGACCGAGCAACGCCGCGUGAGGGAAGAAGGGUGUCGGAUCGUAAAGCUCGGUUGUAAGAGAAGAACGAGUGUGAGAGUGGAAAGUUCACACUGUGACGGUAUCUUACCAGAAAGAGACGGCUAACUACGUG
RNAcentral lists this ribosomal RNA (495 nucleotides) under uncultured bacterium. RNAcentral's name for it is "partial 16S ribosomal RNA". It matches the Rfam family "Bacterial small subunit ribosomal RNA", at positions 28 to 507 of the family's 1533-position model. The record is from RNAcentral.